RNAcentral lists this ribosomal RNA (254 nucleotides) under uncultured bacterium. RNAcentral describes it as "partial 16S ribosomal RNA". It matches the Rfam family "Bacterial small subunit ribosomal RNA", at positions 524 to 776 of the family's 1533-position model. The record is from RNAcentral.
UACGGAGGGUGCAAGCGUUAUCCGGAUUCACUGGGUUUAAAGGGUGCGUAGGUGGUUUUGUAAGUCAGUGGUGAAAGCCCGGAGCUCAACUCCGGAACUGCCAUUGAUACUGCUUAACUUGAAUCAACUUGAGGUGGAUGGAAUAUUACAUGUAGCGGUGAAAUGCUUAGAUAUGUAAUAGAACACCGAUUGCGAAGGCAGUUCACUAAGGUUGUAUUGACACUGAGGCAACGAAAGCGUGGGGAUCAAACAGG